CUGGGAAAGGGUUUGUGCUGAUCCAGACUAAGGAAGUGUCCAUGCGCCCGAGGACGUCAGCAGAGUGUUCCAGAACGAUGCAGAGGGACUCCUCGAGUGGAUCGCCAACGGCCCAGUGACAGCUCUGGAGUUGAAUGGAGACGGGUAGUGGAGGCCUGCAAGAGCAUGGCCAGUGACAUGUUCAGUGGAACCAAGGUGUUUGUUUCAGACAACAGAAAUACUUCCUCUCGAGAUGUGGACAACUUCUUCAACUUUGCUGACAUGCAGAUGGGCUUGUGAUUGAGUCACUGUAUGACAAUCAACUUACUACACAACCAAGGAUUUUUUUUGUUAUAUUUUUUAUACUAGUAGGUAGCGGAGAAGGACAGGUUAUUCAACAUAGUGAUGGUAGGUAGCGGAGAAGGACAGGUUAUUCAACAUAGUGAUGGUAGGUAGUGGAGAAGGACAGGUUAAUCAACAUAGUGAUGGUAGGUAGCGGAGAAGGACAGGUUAUUCAACAUAGUGAUGGUAGGUAGUGGAGAAGGACAGGUUAUUCAACAUAGUGAUGGUAGGUAGCGGAGAAGGACAGGUUAUUCAACAUAGUGAUUGUAGGUAGUGGAGAAGGACAGGUUAUUCAACAUAGUGAUGGUAGGUAGCGGAGAAGGACAGGUUAUUCAAUAUAGUGAUU
Long non-coding RNA from Oncorhynchus masou masou (cherry salmon), 667 nucleotides. RefSeq lists it as uncharacterized. The transcript is spliced from 3 exons. The record is from RefSeq and is a predicted model, not a curated record. NCBI's taxonomy places the organism in Eukaryota, Metazoa, Chordata, Actinopteri, Salmoniformes, Salmonidae.